Non-coding RNA from Microcebus murinus (gray mouse lemur), 1462 nucleotides. The record is from RefSeq and is a predicted model, not a curated record. Lineage: Eukaryota; Metazoa; Chordata; Mammalia; Primates; Cheirogaleidae.
ACCAACCAUUUCUCCAAAGAGCUCUGGUUCCUUUUACUGGAGAAUGAUAUUUAGAAACCGAUAUCUGGGUGCUAGAUGUAUUUUACCUAUGAUGGUAUUAACGCAUGUGGUAAUACUUAUUCUCAUCAGAGCUGGCCCCCUAGGUCGGAGGCAACACGAUGUGGUGGUGAAGAGGGUGGGCUCUGGAUCCAGUGUGCCUGAAUUAAAGUCCUGGCCACCAUGGACAAGUCCUGAGGCCUUGUGAAAGUGACUUAAGCUCAAAUAGUUUUACCACCUGCAUGAUGGUGGCUUCCUCAACAGGAAAAGAAAAGAACUCAUACACACCUGUUGUCAAACCUAGACGUGACUAUGUGUCUGGGAUUCUGAUUGCUAAAAAUAUCAAGUCAUCACAGAAGACACCAGGAGCAUGGAGAGGACAGGAAGUCCGAGGAGGAGGAGGACUGCAAUCAUUCUUCUCAUGAGGGGGAGUAAGAACUGCCAAACCUGUGUCUGUGAAAGCAGCUCCAAGGCAAGGGAAGGGGAAGAGAAGAAGAAAGCAGAUUUAAGCACCUGGGGACAAAGUCAUCAAAGGAUCACUUUGCCCCAUUUUGGCCUCAGGUAAGACAGAUCAGUAGAGAGGAGGGUUAGGAUGAUGUUUCAGCAAAGAACCAAGCCAUUCCCUGUAUUGCCACCCCAGGUCCUGUCACCUGUGGAAUCCUGUCCCCAAGUGGGACUUACAGUCAGGCAGAGGACACAUGUGCCCUGCUGUUGAAGGCAGGGAGGUGACAGAGUGACGCUGUUCUGAGGGCCUGCCUGCCUACACCAGAGCAGGUGGGUGGUUCCAGGCUUCCCUACCUGCUUUGUUUUCCACUGACUUAGUUCCUCAGGCCAUUCCAGAUUGAGGCCUCAUCCCUGUUAGGAUGCUGGGCCACACUUCCUCUUGGGCUCUCCUCCCAGUUUCAUUCCACGUCACUAACCUUAGCUGGCCUCCUCAAAUUUGGUGUGUGCCCUGAUAUCUAGUUUGGAGCCAAAUCCUUCAGACUCUGGCCUCAGCCUGAGCCUUCGGAUUCAUCAGCCUUGCUAAUUUCCUCUUCUAAUACCUCCCCACCUUGGCCUUUCCCCUCUUUUCUGUACUCUCUAUCCUGUCUUGGUGACAGGAUUCUUCUAGUCCUGGCGUCACCCGGCCACCCUGUCUUCCCCACCCCCAUCCAGCUGGCUGGUGCAAUCUGCUAUUCAAGGGAUAACUUUAUUCAGUGUCCAACCCUGCCUUCUGCAAGGUAACCAUGCUAGAAUGUUAGUCUAAUACCCUUUCUCUGCCUGUUCGAGGGGAGUCUGUGAAAGCUCGUCACAGGAUCUGCCUGGGUAGACCCCCUGUUUACCUCUGUGUCCCGAUCAUUGGAUUCUGACUGUCCUAGUCAUUCCAAGUUCUCAAAAACUUGUUUCCCCACUCUGCUUGCCAAUACCUUUCUCUUGUUUUUUUCUU